AACGAACGCUGGCGGCAGGCCUAACACAUGCAAGUCGAGCGCCCCGCAAGGGGAGCGGCGGACGGGUGAGUAACGCGUGGGAAUAUGCCCUUUGCUACGGAAUAGUCUCGGGAAACUGGGGGUAAUACCGUAUACGCCCUUUGGGGGAAAGAUUUAUCGGCGAAGGAUUAGCCCGCGUUGGAUUAGGUAGUUGGUGGGGUAAUGGCCUACCAAGCCGACUAUCCAUAGCUGGUUUGUGAGGAUGAUCCGUCACACUGGGACUGAGACACGGCCCAGACUCCUCCGAGAGGCAGCAGUGGGGGAUCUUAGACAAUGGGGGCAACCCUGAUCUAGCCAUGCCGCGUGAGUGAUGAAGGCCUUAGAGUUGUAAAGCUCUUUCAGCUGGGAAGAUGAUGACGGUACCAGCAGAAGAAGCCCCGGCUAACUCCGUG
This 431-nucleotide ribosomal RNA is filed under the name uncultured bacterium. RNAcentral describes it as "partial 16S ribosomal RNA". It matches the Rfam family "Bacterial small subunit ribosomal RNA", at positions 29 to 507 of the family's 1533-position model. The record is from RNAcentral.